Molecule: long non-coding RNA, 262 nt
Organism: Zingiber officinale
Lineage: Eukaryota; Viridiplantae; Streptophyta; Magnoliopsida; Zingiberales; Zingiberaceae
Exons: 3
Source: RefSeq, a predicted model, not a curated record
UUUUUCCAGGUAUCUUGUUCAGAUAAUCACAUUCAUCUGCUAAAAAUGCCUACAAUGGAUAUCUCAAAAUCCAUAUCGGGAAUCAAGCCUCCUUUUUCGUUUCCUCUCAAACAUGAAGGAUCCUGCACACAAGUUGCAUUUGAGCAGACAACUGGAUUAGUUGCUGUUUCCACUGAAGAUUAUUGUGUACAAUUCUAUAGCUUGUUUGACAACCAUGAGGUUUCAGAGGUCCAAGUGUGCAAAAGAAAUUUUCAGCCUGCAG